Molecule: non-coding RNA, 223 nt
Organism: Paramuricea clavata
Lineage: Eukaryota; Metazoa; Cnidaria; Anthozoa; Malacalcyonacea; Plexauridae
Source: the annotation of a GenBank genome assembly
AUCGCAUAAAGAUUUGUCCUGAUUUACAUAAACUUCAGCUUUGAUUUUCUCGGCUUAGACAAUGUUUAUUUUUAAAAUUACUUCGCCAAUGUCAAUGAACUCAUAAGAUAAGUCAUUUUAUAAGCACGAUAAAACAUUCGCAUCCGAUCUUUAUCUGAUAUACAAACUCUCGCCUUCGGCUCGAGUUUUUAUAUCAGAUAAAGAUCGGCUGCUCAUGUUUUAU